AAAAAUGCUUAAUUGCAUCAUACCUUUUGUGCACUGUAAAUUUUUCACUUAAACUUUGUCUGAUUAAUUAUCAUUCUGAAAAGAAUGUGAAUUCUAAUCAAAUA
RNAcentral lists this unclassified non-coding RNA (104 nucleotides) under uncultured Chytridiomycota. Its description in RNAcentral is "sequence contains ITS1". The record is from RNAcentral. Lineage: Eukaryota; Fungi; Chytridiomycota.